Habropoda laboriosa is the source of this 328-nucleotide long non-coding RNA. RefSeq lists it as uncharacterized. The record is from RefSeq and is a predicted model, not a curated record. The transcript is spliced from 3 exons. NCBI's taxonomy places the organism in Eukaryota, Metazoa, Arthropoda, Insecta, Hymenoptera, Apidae.
CCCGGUAGAAGCAAAACCGGAUGUUCGCCAGUUCCAACUCUCAGUUUCAGUCAUGAAUGUAUGCAAUCUGGGAGCGAGCUAAUUUUUCAUUUUUCGUCCAAACAUUGCAAUAAGGUUAUGUACUACAGUACAACUGUUAUAACAAAGCUCGUUCGUUGCAUACAACUUUGGUGAACAGGUGAAAAAAAACAGAAGAAGAAAAAACGAGGCAAUAAUAAAUAAUAAAGUGAGAGCGAAUGGAAUAUGCGUAAGAAUAAGCUGCUUUACUUGGUGCAUUUUGAGACGAAUAAAAUGGAUUUAUAUUUUGUGCCAUUCCGAAUCGAAAGAC